GAGAAAACCUUGUGCACAUAUGUUAAUGCUGGGAUCCUUACAGAGAUUAGCAUGGCCCCUGUACAGGGAUGAGGCACAAAUUCAUGAGGCUUGCAAUAUUUAG
Molecule: small nuclear RNA, 103 nt
Organism: Arvicanthis niloticus (Nile rat)
Lineage: Eukaryota; Metazoa; Chordata; Mammalia; Rodentia; Muridae
Source: RefSeq, a predicted model, not a curated record